GGGUUCUUCUACAAGAGCUGAGGUUCUAACUGGAACCAUUUGCUUCUGAAAAACCCUGUCCCGAAGAAAGGGUUUUUCAAGGGUUCUUGGUAACGCUAAUGGUUCCAGUAAGAACCAUUUUGAUCCAGAGAACCCUUUAAAACCCCUUUUCUGAAUAAUUGGUUUUAAAAGGGUUCUCACUAACACUAAGGGUUCCAGUAAGAACUAUUUUGAUCCAGAGAACCGUUUUCGGAAGAAAAGAGUUCUUCAGGGAUUGUUGAAAGCAUGGGUAAGAUCCUGUGUCACCAGGGACAUACUUCCUGAUAACAUUUGCCAAUAAUGGUGCAAAAUACAUUUCCUUGUGACUACUGAUACAAAUACUUUUCAUAUACAAUUUUUUUGUUUAUUUUAAAGCAAACUCUUCUUCCCCAGAUCCUGUUGAUCAAACUGUAACAUAAUUGCCCAUCUUGGGAUUUGAACACCUGCCACCCAGUCUAAAGUCACUGGCAAUAGUGGCUGAGCUAACCAGCUGGCUGCCUUCAGUCAUCAGGUCCACCAUACUAGUCUAUUACCUUACACCUUAUGAUCAGACAUACAAAUAAUGGCAGUCCUAUAACUGAAAUGUUCUGUUACCAAUUUAUUUCCACAACCAUUAAUUAUAAGAAAGCAAGAUCUUCAUCAGCAAAUCUUGUUGACUCAAGCAAAGAUUAGCUGUGACUGGGAGGACCAUUUUUGAAAUCUGCCUUGACAACUGCUGUCUGGCUAGUCAUUCCGUUUGAGAAAUAGCUCAGUGAUUUAGGAGCUGGUUCUUGGUGCCAAAGAACCUGGGUUCAAGCCCUGACAAAGGUAUUGAUGACAGCUCAUGAAAAUGCCAGGUGGUCUUUGUGAAGCAAACAUAUACAUUUUAGAGUCAUGAUAGAUUAAACAUCAGUUAUUAACUUAUGGAGCAAAUCGAAUCAAUUAAAAAAUCAAAUUACCAAUAUCUCCAUUCUGUCUAUGCAAUAUGUGUAUUUUCAGAUUUUUGUCUUGAUGACUGAUAUAUUUACAGUGGUUUCAAAUCUGCAUGCACAACAGUGAAUGGCUUAAUCAGUUUGUGAAGCCACUGUUGAAUUGUCACUUGCCAAUUAGCUCAGCGUGAUAGACCACAGUCUUUGGUUCUAUUGUUGUGGAUUUUAGCCUCAACUGGUGCAAAAGGAACAUUAUAAUGUCAACUGUCUUGCCUUCCUGUUCUCCUGUUUGUUGCUCAGAAUUGCCUUAAUUUGCCAAAAAUCGCCCGGACCCGACCCAUCGCUGCGCAGCAGUUAUAAUUGUGUUUAUUUAGUUUAGUUACACUACUCCCUUCUUCAGGAGGAAAUGACACACAGCAAAGAACUAGCAAGGUGGUCCCUGCAGCAAGGAUAUAACCCCUCUUUCUGGGGCAUCUAAGUGAGCUAUACGACUCACUGGACAAAGGCUUUUGAAAGUUUGUUACAAGUCAGGUGAUCUAGGGAUACAGUUUGAAGUUGUGAGUUCAAGGCCUGGUUGAUGCAGAGUGACGAUGUUAAUGCAUACUGAGGUGAUGUGUGGAUUAGUGACAGACAAUUUAAAAAAUAUUAAACACUUAUUUUACAGACAAUUUUACUCAUGUAUUUGUCUCCUCCUCAUACUUUUCCAUGAUCGGCCUCAUCCCAUGGCUGCUGUACUCUGCUGACUGGCUUAGUCGAGUUGUGAAGCUGCACAUAAGUUCAUUGAUAGACAACGGUCUUUGAUGUCAGAGGCCAAGCCUUAACUGAUGCAAAAACCACACUGUAAUGCUGACUUUUAGGCUACUACAUCAGGGUUUGUUGAUGCUGGGAAUUGAACCCUGAUCUCCCAGGUGAAAGGGCAAGGUUUGGUGUGUUGGGCCAGGGAGCUGGCAUGAUGGUGGCUGUCAUGUGUGAGUUAAGAGCUGGUUGCCCCAUGGAUUGCACCAUGGUCUGGUCUUCCCUGCCUACAAACCAGGUGUGACAUACCAAUAGUGAUUACUGUGAACAGAACAGAACAAAGAAGAACAGGAGAGAGAACAGAAGAAACUUCUGAGAAUCAAGGUGAGCUAAAUAUAAUAUCUUAUUUCAGCAUGUUUGACCCUAGCUGAGGACUUUUAUGGUAAAAGGUGGACUAAGCAUUUGUUUCUUGUUAUGUUUUGUUCGUUUGCUUAUUUGUUUGUUUUCUUGUAGAAAACAAACAAACAAAUUGUAUUGUGGUCAAACAAUACAAUACCUGACAAAGCUCUGCUGAGAGCUGCCAUAACAAAAUAGGUUACAAUAUAUCUGUACAAUUAAUCUUAAAUCAUUAUAAAAAGGUUAUCGUAGUUGUUAUUUUAAUGAAAUAUUAUAGUAUAAAUUGUCAAUGUUAGAAGAAGCUUUAACGUUGUCGGUAGCGGCGUUGCGGUCGCCAUCUAGCUCGUCUUUGGAGGGAUGGAUGGGCUGGUGAGCACCAUGGAUCUAAUACAUCCAUGUUGAGCACACACUAAUGUGCGGGUAGGAGGAGCAGGGAUACUGGGCUUGAGCUUGGUCUCCAACAUAGUGGUAGCAGAAAGAUAACACAAGACGAAGGUUACAGAGAGGAUGAUUCUUCCAUAUUAUAUAACGUUUUAAAAAACAUGUACACCUCAUCUUAAUGGUUACCUCUUACUAUAUUGCUUGUCAUUUUUCUUGAAUGCAUAUAGGCUCAGGAGAGUGAAGAAUGUAGAGAGGAUGAAAGGAGCAUUGAAGCUCAUAUCAAUGAAAUGUCUACAGAGAUGCUUAAGGUACACCCAGAUCUGAACUCUUUAAAGGAGAGAAUGAGACGAACCUAUGCAUACCGAAAGGUAACUGCCAAGGCAGAGGAAAUCAUCGAAAAGUUUCCCGCACUGAAGCUUCCUAAAUAGUUGCUUCUGUGGGAGAUGAAGGAGCAAUUCCUUGUAGAAGCUGAUCGCAGAAUGGUCACAGAGCUGGUUCGAAUGGCAACGAAGAUGGUUCAAAGAGCAUCUAUGUGUGGCCUAAAGGACUGCUGCCAGAGGGCAAUCAAUGCCUGCCUGGAUGAUGCAGUAAGACGAGGACUCAUUAGGGAUGCAGCAAUUCUACUGCUGCCUUCCAUUUUCAGAGAGGACUCAUCCUUGCUAUACACUCUACUGGAGGAGCCAAGCGUGCCUACUCCAGCAAUCAUGCUCCAUAACACACAUGAGGGGAACCCUUUGCAGGCUCAAAGGAUAACCCUAUACCUGGAUGGUAUACAGGUUUUGACUGAGGACAGCAGCAUGGACAUAUCAUAUGCUAUGAGUGCAUUAAUGUCACUCUAUUUUGUUUUUGCUGUCCAGUACCCGAAGGAACUGAGAAAAACUCUUAUUUUCAUUGAAAGACAUAUUUUGGACCAAUACAUUUUGUUUGAUUUUGGCAUAGUGACGUCUCUAGAUUUCCGUUAUUGUUACAAUACGUAACAUUUUGAGUACUUAUUACAUAACACUGAAAAGUAUUUCAACAUUAUUUAAAUCAAUGUGAAAACUUUGUGGGAUUCCCUCACUUUCUCAUGAUUCUGUUCCACUGUCACAAUUAGUACAUACAGUAUGUACACUGAUUCUUUUCAUUGGACCAUGCAUUAUUUUAUUGUUUGUAGAUAGCUAACAAUAAGGCGCAGUAAAUGCAGUAAGUGCACCUUGGAUUGAUUGAACUAAAACUAUUUUGUGUCUCUUUCUACCAUGUCACCAUUGCUGGAGAUGUAUUUACACAAAUUCACCUACUGAGGACAGCAUGAUGUGUCUGGCCUGUCAUGUUGCUGAUUCCACUGGACCUAUGCUGACUUUUGAUCUGUUCUCCCCUGGGACCUACACAGCCUCUCCUGUUUUG
Nerophis lumbriciformis (worm pipefish) is the source of this 3821-nucleotide RNA transcript. RefSeq lists it as uncharacterized. The record is from RefSeq and is a predicted model, not a curated record. Lineage: Eukaryota; Metazoa; Chordata; Actinopteri; Syngnathiformes; Syngnathidae.